GUCAGGAUGGCCGAGCGGUCUAAGGCACCAGACUCAAGUUCUGGUCUCCAAAUGGAGGUGUGGGUUCACAUCUCACACCUGACA
RNAcentral lists this transfer RNA (84 nucleotides) under Merluccius polli (Benguela hake). Its description in RNAcentral is "tRNA-Leu". It matches the Rfam family "tRNA". Rfam says of the family: Transfer RNA (tRNA) molecules are approximately 80 nucleotides in length. Their secondary structure includes four short double-helical elements and three loops (D, anti-codon, and T loops). Further hydrogen bonds mediate the characteristic L-shaped molecular structure. tRNAs have two regions of fundamental functional importance: the anti-codon, which is responsible for specific mRNA codon recognition, and the 3' end, to which the tRNAs corresponding amino acid is attached (by aminoacyl-tRNA synthetases). tRNAs cope with the degeneracy of the genetic code in two manners: having more than one tRNA (with a specific anti-codon) for a particular amino acid; and 'wobble' base-pairing, i.e. permitting non-standard base-pairing at the 3rd anti-codon position. Lineage: Eukaryota; Metazoa; Chordata; Actinopteri; Gadiformes; Merlucciidae. The record is from RNAcentral.